AUUUGGUGGUGAGGGCAGCUAGCAAAUAGCCUCUUAAAUCUCUCCUAAUACUCAUAUAAUGACUCUCCAGUCUGUUGGCGAAUGCCACAGAUUUCAUUCCUUAUACU
Humulus lupulus (European hop) is the source of this 107-nucleotide small nucleolar RNA. Lineage: Eukaryota; Viridiplantae; Streptophyta; Magnoliopsida; Rosales; Cannabaceae. The record is from RefSeq and is a predicted model, not a curated record.